RNAcentral lists this ribosomal RNA (301 nucleotides) under uncultured bacterium. RNAcentral's name for it is "partial 16S ribosomal RNA". It matches the Rfam family "Bacterial small subunit ribosomal RNA", at positions 509 to 807 of the family's 1533-position model. The record is from RNAcentral.
CAGCAGCCGCGGGAAUACGUAGGGUGCAAGCGUUAAUCGGAAUUACUGGGCGUAAAGCGUGCGCAGGCGGUUAUAUAAGACAGAUGUGAAAUCCCCGGGCUCAACCUGGGAACUGCAUUUGUGACUGUAUAGCUAGAGUACGGCAGAGGGGGAUGGAAUUCCGCGUGUAGCAGUGAAAUGCGUAGAUAUGCGGAGGAACACCGAUGGCGAAGGCAAUCCCCUGGGCCUGUACUGACGCUCAUGCACCAAAGCGUGGGGAGCAAACAGGAUUAGAGACCCGCGUAGUCCCUGUCUCUUAUAC